Molecule: long non-coding RNA, 4371 nt
Organism: Xenopus laevis (African clawed frog)
Lineage: Eukaryota; Metazoa; Chordata; Amphibia; Anura; Pipidae
Exons: 3
Source: RefSeq, a predicted model, not a curated record
AAUUCGGAGCUUUCUGGAUAUCGGGUUUCCGGAUAAGGGAUCCUAUACCUGUACUAUCAUUUCUGUCCGUAAUGGCACUGAUAGCGAUUAUGUGGAAGGAUAGUGUCAAUAUUGCAGAUGGAGACAACGACUGAUAGUGAGAACAAAAGGAGGAAGAGAAAUCUACGUCCAAUGAAUCAGAGUCUGAAUAAAUCUGAUGAUUUGGAGUUUGAUAAAUCCAAGAAAUCAGCCUCAUUGUGUUAUUUGUCUGAUAAAUGUCCCUCUUAUUCUGAAGAGUAUUAGAAUGUAUUGUCCUUAUUUUGUUUGCAGGAAGGAUAGUGUCAAUAUUGCAUAUGGAGACAACAACUGAUAGUGAGAACGAAAAGGAGGAAGAGAAAUCUACGUCCGAUGAAUCAUUGUCUGAUAAAUCUGAUGAUUCGGAGUUUGAUAAAUCUGAUAAAUCCGCCUCAGAAUAUGAAAGCGAAACGAGUUCAGAAGAGGAAUCAAGUGAGAAACCUGGUUAGACAGUUGAAAGUGACUAAGAAGACUUGAAAUGUUUAUUCACCUUCAGCGAAUAUAUUUUCUGAAUAAAUACAUUUAUCAUAUACCAAAAAGAUUUUUGGAAUAAAGUCGUUUUUAUUAUUAGUGACUGAUGUGGUUGGUGAUUUAGAUUAGUGGGAGUUAGAUAUUCAUAGGUUGGGUUUACCCUUGGGUCUAGCCUGUCCUGGCAUUACAUUAUGUUCUACCAUUUAUUUACAUAAUAUUAAUAAUAAACCCUUUUCUUCCGUACAGCAGAAACGCGAGAUCUGUGCAGAGGUGAUGGCUCCCAGAUACAAUUAUUUCAUCUACAUUUUAAUAAUCAUUGGAAUGUUCAUACAGUCGUUAAAUGUGCACCAGGUAAGUGUAACAUUCUAACGGAUUUCCCUCUAGUGAUAAUGAAUGUGUUUAAAGCCAUAUAUACCCCUUUAUUGGCCACUAGUAAGCUACAUGGCUGUUCAAGCUGAACCGCUUGAGUGUGAAUAUAGAGAAUGUUUAGCGACUGUAACUGUACACUGCUUUUUACUCUUUCAGCUAUGAAAAGCCGAAAUUUCAAUGUUUUACUGAAUAGCGACGGAAUCAGAAGGCACCCAGAGAGCGGCCACAAAUUUGGGCUCUUUGUACCUCUUGUAAAGAAAGGGAACUGCACCUUGAUUAUUAAUCCCACUGAUGCCAAAGACAGCGGGGUUUUUGAAGUUUGGAUGUCACUAGAUGCAGGGCCGGAACUAGGGGUAGGCAUAGUAGGCACGUGCCUAGGGCGCAAAGCUGAGGGGGUGCCAGGCACGUACCUGCUCUGUCGCCUACCCCGUGUCCGGUCCCGUCUGCUGCUGGUGGCUUGCGCUUAAAUGCUCUUCUGCGCAUGCGCACAUAUUUUGCGCAUUGCACGGUCAAGCGCGCACAGAGCCGGCGCCGUGGCCCGCCAGGUUGCCUAGGGCGCCUGGCCGGGUUGGCCCGGCUCUGCUAGAUGGCAGGUUGCAUGAAGCCUUUUCCAAAACCAAAAUUACCAUUAAAGACCAAAAGCAAGCCUCAGGUGAGCUCUACAUGCAUCACUUUAUAUUAUUUUUAUUCUUUAUAAUAUGGAUUUAUUGGGUUAUUUAUUCUGAAGAGUAUUAGAAUGUAUUGUCCUUAUUUUGUUUGCAGGAAGGAUAGUGUCAAUAUUGCGGAUGGAGACAAAAACUGAUAGUGAGAACGAAAAGGAGGAAGAGAAAUCUACGUCCGAUGAAUCAUUGUCUGAUAAAUCUGAUUAUUCGGAGUUUGAUAAAUCUGAUAAAUCCUCCUCAGAAUAUGAAAGCGAAACGAGUUCAGAAGAGGAAUCAAGUGAGAAACCUGGUUAGACGGAUGAAAGUGACUAAGAAGACUUGAAAUGUUUAUUCACCUUCAGCGAAUAUAUUUUCUGAAUAAAUACAUUUAUCAUAUACCAAAAAGAUUUUUGGAAUAAAGUCGUUUUUAUUAUUAGUGACUGAUGUGGUUGGUGAUUUAGAUUAGUGGGAGUUAGAUAUUCAUAGGUUGGGUUUACCCUUGGGUCUAGCCUGUCCUGGCAUUACAUUAUGUUCUACCAUUUAUUUACAUAAUAUUAAUAAUAAACCCUUUUCUUCCGUACAGCAGAAACGCGAGAUCUGUGCAGAGGUGAUGGCUCCCAGAUACAAUUAUUUCAUCUACAUUUUAAUAAUCAUUGGAAUGUUCAUACAGUCGUUAAAUGUGCACCAGGUAAGUGUAACAUUCUAACGGAUUUCCCUCUAGUGAUAAUGAAUGUGUUUAAAGACAUAUAUACCCCUUUAUUGGCCACUAGUAAGCUACAUGGCUGUUCAAGCUGAACCGCUUGAGUGUGAAUAUAGAGAAUGUUUAGCGACUGUAACUGUACACUGCUUUUUACUCUUUCAGCUAUGAAAAGCCGAAAUUUCAAUGUUUUACUGAAUAGCGACGGAAUCAGAAGGCACCCAGAGAGCGGCCACAAAUUUGGGCUCUUUGUACCUCUUGUAAAGAAAGGGAACUGCACCUUGAUUAUUAAUCCCACUGAUGCCAAAGACAGCGGGGUUUUUGAAGUUUGGAUGUCACUAGAUGCAGGGCCGGAACUAGGGGUAGGCAUAGUAGGCACGUGCCUAGGGCGCAAAGCUGAGGGGGUGCCAGGCACGUACCUGCUCUGUCGCCUACCCCGUGUCCGGUCCCGUCUGCCGCUGGUGGCUUGCGCUUAAAUGCUCUUCUGCGCAUGUGCACAUAUUUCGCGCAUUGCACAGUCAAGCGCGCACAGAGCCGGCGCCGUGGCCCGCCAGGUUGCCUAGAACGCCUGGCCGGGUUGGCCCUGCUCUGCUAGAUGGCAGGUUGCAUGAAGCCUUUUCCAAAACCAAAAUUACCAUUAAAGACCAAAAGCAAGCCUCAGGUGAGCUCUACAUGCAUCACUUUAUAUUAUUUCUAUUCUUUAUAAUAUGGAUUUAUUGGGUUAUUUAUUCUGAAGAGUAUUAGAAUGUAUUGUCCUUAUUUUGUUUGCAGGAAGGAUAGUGUCAAUAUUGCGGAUGGAGACCACAACUGAUAGUGAGAACGAAAAGGAGAAAGCAAAAUCUACGUCCGAUGAAUCGGAGUCUGAUAAAUCCCAUGAUUGGGAGUCUGAGAAAUCCAAAAAAAAUCAGCCUCAUUGGGUUAUUUGUCUGAUAAAUGUCCCUCUUAUUCUGAAGAGUAUUAGAAUGUAUUGUCCUUAUUUUGUUUGCAGGAAGGAUAGUGUCAAUAUUGCGGAUGGAGACAACAACUGAUAGUGAGAACGAAAAGGAGGAAGAGAAAUCUACGUCCGAUGAAUCAUUGUCUGAUAAAUCUGAUGAUUCGGAGUUUGAUAAAUCUGAUAAAUCCGCCUCAGAAUAUGAAAGCGAAACGAGUUCAGAAGAGGAAUCAAGUGAGAAACCUGGUUAGACGGAUGAAAGUGACUAAGAAGACUUGAAAUGUUUAUUCACCUUCAGCGAAUAUAUUUUCUGAAUAAAUACAUUUAUCAUAUACCAAAAAGAUUUUUGGAAUAAAGUCGUUUUUAUUAUUAGUGACUGAUGUGGUUGGUGAUUUAGAUUAGUGGGAGUUAGAUAUUCAUAGGUUGGGUUUACCCUUGGGUCUAGCCUGUCCUGGCAUUACAUUAUGUUCUACCAUUUAUUUACAUGAUAUUAAUAAUAAACCCUUUUCUUCCGUACAGCAGAAGAAGCGCGAGAUCUGUGCAGCAGUGAUGGCUCCCAGAUACAAUUAUUUCAUCUACAUUUUAAUAAUCAUUGGAAUGUUCAUACAGUCGUUAAAAUGUGCACCAGCUAUGCAAAUCCGAAAUUUCAAUGUUUUGCAAACACACCUGAUCCUGAACUAAAAUGAAACUGGAAUUGGGUAAACUCUCUUUAGAGGAAGGAAGAUACACCCCUCUCAUCCAAUUGAAUAGCGAGGGAAUCAGAAGGAACCCAGAGAUCGGCCACAGAUUUGGGCUCUUUGUAUCUCUUGUAAAGAAAGGCAACUGUACCUUGAUUAACAAUCCCAUCUAUGCCAAAGACACGGGCGUUUAUGAAGUAUGGAUAUCACUAGAUGGCAGGUUGCACAAAGCCUUUUCCAAAACCAAAAUUACCAUUUCAGACCAAAAGCAAGCCUCAGGUGAGCUCUACAUGCAUCACUUUAUACUAUUUAUAUUCUUUAUAAUAUGGAAGUGAUAAUAUUUCUUAUAUAGUUGUGGUGUUGUAAAUACCAGCCGUCACUUACCCGUCUUUCUUUUUAUAUAGGUGCCUCCCGUGCGAACAUUAAACCGACUGUAAUGGCGACAUCCAUUAUGCGUACAACUGCUAAUGAGACGGCCUCAAACCAAACCGAUUUUUUUGUUACGCUGGGGUUUUCUGGAUAACGGAUCUU